GAUGAACGCUGGCGGCGUGCUUAACACAUGCAAGUCGAACGGAAAGGCCAUUCCUUUGUCUGGUGCUCGAGUGGCGAACGGGUGAGUAACACGUGAGUGACCUGCCCUGGACUUUGGGAUAACUUCAGGAAACUGGGUCUAAUACCGGAUAGGAGCAUGUGCUGCAUGGCGGGGGGGGGAGAGUUUCGGCGGUGGGGGAUGGACUCGGGGCUUAAGAGCUUGGUGGGGGGGUAGUGGCAUACCAAGGUCUUGGGGGGGACGCGGCCUGAGAGGGUGCCCGGCCCCCUGGGGACUGAGAUAGGGCCCAGUCUCCUACGGGGGACAGCAGGGGGGAAUAUUGCACAGUGGGCGGGCGCCUUGUGCAGCAGCGCCGCGUGCGGGAUGAGCGUCUGCGGGGUGUAAACCGCUUUCGCCUGAGACGAAGCGUGAGUGACGGUAACGGGUGAAGAAGCACCGGCUAACUACGUG
This 468-nucleotide ribosomal RNA is filed under the name uncultured bacterium. RNAcentral describes it as "partial 16S ribosomal RNA". It matches the Rfam family "Bacterial small subunit ribosomal RNA", at positions 28 to 507 of the family's 1533-position model. The record is from RNAcentral.